Zeugodacus cucurbitae (melon fly) is the source of this 805-nucleotide long non-coding RNA. RefSeq lists it as uncharacterized. NCBI's taxonomy places the organism in Eukaryota, Metazoa, Arthropoda, Insecta, Diptera, Tephritidae. The record is from RefSeq and is a predicted model, not a curated record. The transcript has 2 exons.
UCUAAAUUGUAUUAAAGGAUAUAAUGCGCAUGUAUGUGUGGGUCUUCAGAUGCAAUUGUGAGCUGAGAGAACAGUAUAAAAGCGCGAGUUCGUUCUAACUUAGAGCUUAGUGCAUAGAUUCUGGUCCACUGGUCCACUUGUGCUGAACAAAAUUUUUUUGAGGAAACGUUUUAAAAAAAGGUCAACUUUUUAUCGCCUAAGUUUGUGGUAUCGUUGUGGAGAGAGUGGGUUGUUGAAAUUCAAAAUGGGAUGACCAAGGGUUACCAUGGCGUGCAAGGCGCCCAAACUCAACAGUUAUGUUUUCUUUCUAUAAUUUCUAAUUUAUUGCUUUUGAAUUUGAAGCGUAUAACAGUUCGUACAGCCUAAUCAGUCGAGACCAUCCAAGCACAAAAAUUACUUAAUUACAUUUUUUGCGCUUCUUUUUUGUCCUUAAAAAAUCGUUGCUCUCGCUCAAAAAAAGACUUUGUGCGCAUUGCUGAAUUCAUUAUAAUUUCAAUUAUUAUUUAAUUCAAUUAAAUUUAGCAAAAACGAUAUGGAUAACUUUUGACCGUGUGUAAAUUGGACUACCCUACUAGAUGGAAAUGUGAAUCACAAUAACUAAAUUUAGCAAGUAAAGAGUGUGAAAAUAUACGUCAUUAUAUGUAUAUAUAACCUAUAAUCAAUUGAAGCUUACUACUUGUUGCAAAAUCACAUAAUACUAAAUUAUACUUUUAAAGUGUGAAUUAAAUAUUUUCCACAAGCCUAGAAUUGUAGAAUGUGAGAAUUAUAUAAAUAUAACUACAGACAUAGCUGUUUUUGAAAAAUA